CGUAAACAACGAGUUUCGGUUUUGUGAAAAUCGUCACUGAAUCUCAAGUGAAUAGUUUAAAUUUAUCUUGUUAAUUGUUCAUUUUAAUUUAUACAAUUUACUUGAUUAUGUCUAAAUGAUUUAAGAAAUGUUUAGAUGUUGAGGAAAAUUUGUUUUUCCAUUGUCAGGCUUUUUUUUUAUUCUUUUCUCUUUAGAAAUGAUUUCUUAAUUGUGCCUUUUAAGAAAUUAACUUAAAUCAUCACAUGUGAUUCUUAACUCACACUGAUUGGCAAAUGUUUACUUUCUCUCUCUGCGCCAAAGGAAUUGAAGAAAAAAGAAUAUUAGUAAAAAAUUAAUGUGAUCCUUGGAAUAAGAAGAAAAAAUUAUGGAAACAUUUUCUACCUUAAAACAAAUAUUCUAUUCUAAUUGCCUGUGUUUCCAUGAGGGUUUUUUUCCCAUUGUCUUGGAUGAUUUUUCUCUUUUAAAUGAAUCUAAAAUUCCCUUGGUGAUUUAUCCUAAUAUCUUAUGACAAUACCUGAUUUACUUUACAAGAUCAAUUGAGUCAAUUGAAUUGACUCUCAUUGAAAAGCAAAUAAUCAUCAUUCACAUUAAAGUCUCAUCAUGAAAAUAAUCUAAGAGUCUUUCGUAAAUUAUCACUUGUGAUGGCGUAAAGUUUUUCUUUCAAUUAAAAUCAUGCCCAGAGGGUCUCUCAUGUUAUAAUCAUGGAAUUAAUCUAUAGAACCAGGAGAAAAGAUGGAAAACAAAAGAGAAAUAUAUUUAUAUAUAUUAGAACAUUCACCAUGGAAGAAGGAAAAAGAAUAUUCAUCAAUAGAGCAUCAACAUUUCUCUAUUAUUAUUCUAAUAGCAGACAUUUUCCUGACAGCAUUUUUUUCCCUCCACGAUCAACAUCUUGCAACUUUAGUUCUCAUUCAUCCUAAUCAUCAUCUUCAUCUUUAUCCUCUGUGUAUCAACCUGUCCUAUGCUCUAUUUGAUUUAUCUCUAUUCGAUUCCCUAUUAUCCUUUUUCUCUCUCACACUCAUGCCACUCUUUUGUUUUCUAUUCUUAUUCAACAAUUUAAUGAAAAUUCUCUAUUAUUAACUCAAUGUAUUCUUAUCUAAUCCAGUGAAUCUCUGUGUUAAACAACUA
This is a long non-coding RNA of Panonychus citri (citrus red mite), 1125 nucleotides long. RefSeq lists it as uncharacterized. NCBI's taxonomy places the organism in Eukaryota, Metazoa, Arthropoda, Arachnida, Trombidiformes, Tetranychidae. The record is from RefSeq and is a predicted model, not a curated record. The transcript has 4 exons.